Molecule: long non-coding RNA, 1039 nt
Filed under: Equus asinus (donkey)
Lineage: Eukaryota; Metazoa; Chordata; Mammalia; Perissodactyla; Equidae
Description: lncRNA (ENSEASG00005029846.1)
Source: RNAcentral
GUGAGAGGCAGUAAUAAAGCAGCUGACAAUACAUGGAAAACAUAUUGAACAGUCAACACCUUCUAUUCACCCAUAGAAUGAUUCCUGGGCGGGAUUAGCAGAGAAGAGACAAGAAGGAGUGCAUAUAUCAUUCACUGGGGGACAGUAACGUGCCUUAUGGAGAUACAGUGAAUUGCCUGUUUCAUGGCACUAAUCUGAAAGCAUCCUUGAAUUCAAUUCAACAGCGUGACUGCCAGACAGCUCUUGAAACCAAGUAAGAAUAAAGAAAGAAUGGGAUUCUUAUCUGGGAAGUACUAUAAUGUAAAACUAUGAGCACGACGUGCUGACUGACUGGCCGACUGACUGCAUUAUUCACCAUAGCCAAGAUGUGGAAGCAACCCAAAUGGCCGUCAAUUGAUGAUUGGAUAUAGAAGAUGUGUGGGUUUAGUGAAUGAAGUGCUGUGGAGCCAGUUACUGGACACUCUACACAUGGAAGGACUUCUUGGACAGUUGCUUUCCCAACAUAUCUUACUUGUUCCAUAGUACAAUGUUCCUAUAUGAGAAGAUUUUCUAUUUGUCGUCUACAGUAUGCUAUCUUAACAUUAAUUUUUCCCUUAAGAAGCUUAAAUUUAAUGAAUUUAGAGUCCAGAAAAUUCUAGCUUCAAAAAAAAUCUAUUUUUCCAACAAUGCUAAUUUAAAUUUUCUCCUUGAGAAUCAUUAUUAUGCCCAAACUAAACUCACUUUAUGUUUACAUUAUUUUUUAGAUACUUCUGUGUGGUUCUUUCUCUAAAGGAAUAAAAAGUAGUCUUUUUUUCCUUUUCGCAGAACUCAACAAGGCUUAACUGAUUUUAUUCAUUUGCCUUGAAAAAUAAGAACUCAUCUUUUGGCUUAAACUAAGCAUGGAAAAUUUUAGCCCCAAAGGAAUAUUUUGAAAGACAGUUGUAUAAACAAAAGAAAAAAAAAACUUGUAUCAAAAGGCUUUUCACAUUUAACUACAACAAUGCCAGCUAGUUUAGGGCCACAGAAUAACUACAGAGAACAUUAGCUUGUUCUUCGUGGC